UCUUCAUUUCUUCACACUAUCUCACCGGCCAGAGAGGCGUGAGAGUGUGCGAAAUGAAGAGA
Molecule: microRNA precursor, 62 nt
Filed under: Pristionchus pacificus
Lineage: Eukaryota; Metazoa; Nematoda; Chromadorea; Rhabditida; Neodiplogasteridae
Description: mir-8364 microRNA precursor family
Rfam family: mir-8364 microRNA precursor family
Source: Rfam by way of RNAcentral